Molecule: long non-coding RNA, 641 nt
Organism: Gasterosteus aculeatus aculeatus (three-spined stickleback)
Lineage: Eukaryota; Metazoa; Chordata; Actinopteri; Perciformes; Gasterosteidae
Source: Ensembl
CCUGAAAUCCACAACCAUCUCCACUGUCUUUAGAGCGUUGAGCUCCAGGUUGUUCUGGCUGCACCACGACACCAGAUGGUCAGACUCCACCUGUAGGCGGACUCGUCCCCACCAGAGAUCAGUCCAAUGAGGGUGGUGUCAUCCGCAAACUUCAGGAGCUUGACGGACUGAUGGCUGGAGGUGCAGCUGUUGGUGUACAGGGAGAAGAGCAGAGGGGAGAGAACGCAGCCUUGGGGGGAACCGGUGCUGAUGGUCCGAGAGGCUGAGACAUGUUUCCCCAGCUUCACGAUCCUGGCGUAGGUUCCUGGGGAGUCCAGAUGCUGGAGGAUGUAGUGGAGGGCCAUGUUGACAGCAUCGUCCACAGACCUGUUGGCUCUGUAGGCGAACUGCAGGGGGUCCAGGAGGGGGUCGGUGAGGGACUUCAGGUGGGUCAGGACUAGCCGUUCAAAAGACUUCAUGACUACAGAGGUCAGGGCGACGGGCCUGUAGUCAUUGAGUCCUGUGAUCCUGGGCUUCUUGGGGACAGGGAUGAUGGUGGAGGCCUUGAAGCAGGCUGGUACGUGGCAGGUCUCCAGGGAGGUGUUGAAGAUGUCAGUGAACACCGGAGACAGCUGGUCAGCACAAUGCUUCAGGGUGUGAGG